CUGAGGUUUUUUAAAAUCAUCAAGAUUAAGAUUAUGGUUAAAUUUAAACUGUUGAAUCUCUGAAAAGAUUCCUGAAAUCAGAAAGAUUUCAGUUAUAUAAUGUUAGUUUCAUUCUAAUGUCAGAGUUUCACGUCUCUUGGUCUUUAUUCCUGGUAAUUAGCUCAAAACUGUUUUAAUCUUUUAAAAGCUGUAGCUAAACUGUGGUGUCUCUGUGUGAACUGGAAGCCAUGUUGCAUGUUUUUCUCUUAGGUGGAUUAUUUUAAUGACCUUGUUAACUGUUUUUUGAUAAAUCUGCAAUGCAUCACGUUCAAACUGCAGAAAGCUGCAGCUCGACUCUUACCAAGCUAGAGAGUUCACGUUACUCCAGUCUUCACUUCUUCUCAGGCUGCCAACUGUCACAGCUACUGCUGAGCAGUGACCACUCACACCUGAUCAUCAUCACCCUGAUCCCCAGCUGCUGCCAUAUAAGGACGGAUCUUCCCCCUGCACGGUGUCAGAUUGUUGUGAAACCCUCAGCGUUGCCUCUCCUGUCCCCGAUCCGGACCCUCUCCACUGGAUAAGGACCUCCUGGCUUUGACCCCCUGUCUGUCUGACCCUGAGAUCUGGAACCGCCUGACCCCGAUUUGGAUUCCCUGGUUCUGACCCUGGCCUGUCUGACUGAGAACAAGUUUAUUUCCUAAUAAACAACUGUUUUUGUAUUC
Molecule: long non-coding RNA, 701 nt
Organism: Poecilia latipinna (sailfin molly)
Lineage: Eukaryota; Metazoa; Chordata; Actinopteri; Cyprinodontiformes; Poeciliidae
Exons: 2
Source: RefSeq, a predicted model, not a curated record